CAUGGAUACGGAGAGUGAUCUACAAAAAUGCUGGGACUGGAUGAUUUCAAGGAUGUACUUAUCAAUGGUACAAUAAAACCAUCUUUUUCAGAAACUACUAAA
Molecule: long non-coding RNA, 102 nt
Organism: Homo sapiens (human)
Lineage: Eukaryota; Metazoa; Chordata; Mammalia; Primates; Hominidae
Source: Ensembl